Small nuclear RNA from Pan paniscus (pygmy chimpanzee), 107 nucleotides. The record is from Ensembl. Lineage: Eukaryota; Metazoa; Chordata; Mammalia; Primates; Hominidae.
CUACUCACUUCAGCAGCAAAUAUACUAAAAUUGUGAUGAUACAGAAAAGAUUACCAUGGCCCCUACACAAAGAUGACACACAAAUUCAUGAAGCAUUCUAUAUUUUU